GUAACUGACGCUGAGGCACGAAAGCGUGGGGAGCAAACAGGAUUAGAUACCUGGUAGUCCACGCCGUAAACGAUGAGUACUAGGUGUCGGGGGUUACCCCCCUCGGUGCCGAGCUAACGCAUUAAGUACUCCGCCUGGGAAGUACGCUCGCAAGAGUGAAACUCAAAGGAAUGACGGGGACCCGCACAAGUAGCGGAGCAUGUGGUUUAAUUCGAAGCAACGCGAAGAACCUACCUAAGCUUGACAUCCCAUUGACCUCUCCCUAAUCGGAGAUUUCCCUUCGGGGACAGUGUGACAGGUGGUGCAUGGUUGUCGUCAGCUCGUGUCGUGAGAUGUUGGGUUAAGUCCCGCACGAGCGCAACCCUUGCCUUUAGUUGCCAGCAUUAAGUUGGGCACUCUAGAGGGACUGCCAGGAUAACUCGGAGGAAGGUGGGGAUGACGUCAAAUCAUCAUGCCCCUUAUGCUUAGGGCACACACGUGCUACAAUGGGUGGUACAGAGGGUUGCCAAACCGUGAGGUGGAGCUAAUCCCUAAAGCCAUUCUCAGUUCGGAUUGUAGGCUGAAACUCGCCUACAUGAAGCUGGAGUUACUGUAAUCGCAGAUCAGAAUGCUGCGGUGAAUGCGUUCCCGGGUCUUGUACACACCGCCCGU
RNAcentral lists this ribosomal RNA (651 nucleotides) under uncultured Bacillota bacterium. Its description in RNAcentral is "bacterial SSU rRNA". It matches the Rfam family "Bacterial small subunit ribosomal RNA", at positions 736 to 1397 of the family's 1533-position model. Lineage: Bacteria; Bacillati; Bacillota. The record is from RNAcentral.